Molecule: long non-coding RNA, 537 nt
Filed under: Homo sapiens (human)
Lineage: Eukaryota; Metazoa; Chordata; Mammalia; Primates; Hominidae
Description: LHRI_LNC1482.35
Rfam family: CDKN2B antisense RNA 1 convserved region 3 (bases 1-144)
Source: RNAcentral
UUUGAUGAGAAGAAUAAGCCUCAUUCUGAUUCAACAGCAGAGAUCAAAGAAAAGACUUCUGUUUUCUGGCCACCAGAUAUAUGUUAUCUGUGCUUAAAGAAUUGAAAAACACACAUCAAAGGAGAAUUUUCUUGGAAAGAGAGGGUUCAAGCAUCACUGUUAGGUGUGCUGGAAUCCUUUCCCGAGUCAGUACUGCUUUCUAGAAGAAAACCGGGGAGAUCUAUUUGGAAUGUAUCUAACUCCAAAGAAACCAUCAGAGGUAACAGUAGAGACGGGGUUUCACCAUGUUGGCCAGACUGGUCUUGAACUCUCGACCUCGUGAUUCGCCCGCCUCGGCCUCCCAAAGUGCUGGGAUUACAGGUGUGAGACACCACACCCGGCGGAUAGAGAGAAUUUUGACAGGUGAUGGAGGCUUUUUAUUUUGCCACAAAACCACUGGUGACGUUGCCUGUGGCCACCUUGGAGAAGACACUGGAGGCCUGGGACAUGGAGACUGCUUUUCUGCAGAAACCACAUCCCUUGGAGUAAUGAGCUACA